RNAcentral lists this ribosomal RNA (254 nucleotides) under uncultured bacterium. RNAcentral describes it as "partial 16S ribosomal RNA". It matches the Rfam family "Bacterial small subunit ribosomal RNA", at positions 524 to 776 of the family's 1533-position model. The record is from RNAcentral.
GACGAACCACACAAACGUUAUUCGGAAUUACUGGGCUUAAAGGGUGCGUAGGCUGCGCAGAAAGUUGGGUGUGAAAUCCCUCGGCUCAACCGAGGAACUGCGCCCAAAACUACUGUGCUCGAGGGAGACAGAGGUGAGCGGAACUUAGGGUGGAGCGGUGAAAUGCGUUGAUAUCCUAAGGAACACCCGGUGGCGAAAGCGGCUCACUGGGUCUCUUCUGACGCUGAGGCACGAAAGCUAGGGUAGCGAACGGG